CUAACAUGUAUAUUCAAAGCUGUUUAUCCGAGUCAGAGUCACUAAAUUAUUUUUAUCCGGAGCUACAGAGCUCCAAAUUAAGAUCCGUUAAUUUUCCCUGAAACUAGACUCACAUAUCUUCAUACCAUAAAAUUUUCAGAAUUUUUGGUUCAGCCAAAUAGUACAGUUUAUUCUUUAAAGUUUCCCCUGUUUCGCUGUCUGACAGUUCCGACCACUCUUCACUAAAAAUUAAU
Molecule: long non-coding RNA, 233 nt
Filed under: Gossypium raimondii (Peruvian cotton)
Lineage: Eukaryota; Viridiplantae; Streptophyta; Magnoliopsida; Malvales; Malvaceae
Description: long non-coding RNA (GRAI_LNC004730)
Source: RNAcentral